CCUACGGGAGGCAGCAGUGAGGGAUAUUGGUCAAUGGCCGUAAGGCUGAACCAGCCAAGUCGCGUGAAGGAAGAAGGAUCUAUGGUUUGUAAACUUCUUUUAUAGGGGAAUAAAGGUAUCCACGUGUGGAUAUUUGCAUGUACCCUAUGAAUAAGCAUCGGCUAACUCCGUGCCAGCAGCCGCGGUAAUACGGAGGAUGCGAGCGUUAUCCGGAUUUAUUGGGUUUAAAGGGUGCGUAGGUUGUUUUUUAAGUCAGCGGUGAAAGUUUGUGGCUCAACCAUAAAAUUGCCGUUGAAACUGGAAGACGUGGGUGUGGUUGAGGUAGGCGGAAUGCGUGGUGUAGCGGUGAAAUGGAUAGAUACCACGCAGAACUCCGAGUGCGAAGGCAGCUUACUAAGCCAUAACUGACACUGAAGCACGAAAGCGUGGGGAUCAAACAGGAUUAGAUACCCGGUAGUC
RNAcentral lists this ribosomal RNA (459 nucleotides) under uncultured bacterium. RNAcentral describes it as "partial 16S ribosomal RNA". It matches the Rfam family "Bacterial small subunit ribosomal RNA", at positions 338 to 795 of the family's 1533-position model. The record is from RNAcentral.